AUUUAAAUAGUUUAAUUAAAAUAUUAAUUUGUGGAAUUAAAGAUUAUUUUUUAUAUUUAAAUA
This 63-nucleotide transfer RNA is filed under the name Laingia psammae. RNAcentral describes it as "tRNA-His". The record is from RNAcentral. Lineage: Eukaryota; Metazoa; Arthropoda; Insecta; Hemiptera; Aphididae.